UAAAAAAUGGCGGCCUGCUAUACAUGCAGUCGAGCGCGGGAAGCCGGCGGACUCCUUCGGGAGGAAACCGGUGGAACGAGCGGCGGACGGGUGAGUAACACGUGGGCAACCUGCCGGACUGAUGGGAAUAACCCCGGGAAACCGGGGCUAAUGCCCAAUACGCCCUGACCUCGCCUGAGGUCAGCGGCAAAGCAGGGAUCUUCGGAUCCUUGCACAGUCCGAUGGGCCCGCGGCGCAUUAGCUAGUUGGAGAGGUAAGGGCUCCCCAAGGCGACGAUGCGUAGCCGACCUGAGAGGGUGAUCGGCCACACUGGGACUGAGACACGGCCCAGACUCCUACGGGAGGCAGCAGUAGGGAAUCAUCCGCAAUGGGCGAAAGCCUGACGGUGCAACGCCGCGUGAGUGAUGAAGGUUUUCGGAUCGUAAAGCUCUGUUGACAGGGAAGAACCCACGCCAGUCGAACAGGCUGGCGUGCUGACGGUACCUGUCCAGAAAGCCCCGGCUAACUACGUGCCAGCAGCCGCGGUAAUACGUAGGGGGCAAGCGUUGUCCGGAAUUAUUGGGCGUAAAGGGCACGCAGGCGGUUUCGUCAGUCCGAUGUGACAGGCCACGGCUCAACCGUGGAAGGCCAUUGGAAACUGCGAAACUUGAGGACAGAAGAGGAGAGUGGAAUUCCACGUGUAGCGGUGAAAUGCGUAGAUAUGUGGAGGAACACCAGUGGCGAAGGCGACUCUCUGGUCUGUACCCUGACGCUGAGGUGCGAAAGCAUGGGGAGCAAACAGGAUUAGAUACCCUGGUAGUCCAUGCCGUAAACGCUGAGUGCUAGGUGUUAGGGGUUUCGAUACCCGUAGUGCCGAAGCUAACGCAUUAAGCACUCCGCCUGGGGAGUACGGACCGCAAGGUUGAAACUUCAAGGAAUUGACGGGGGCCCGCACCAAGCGGUGGAGCAUGUGGUUUAAUUCGACGCACCGCGAAGAAACUUACCAGAUCCUGACAUCUUCCGCUACGCCUCAAGAGAGCCGUUCCCCCUUCGGGGGACCGAAUGACAGGGGGUGCAUGCUUGUCGUCAGCUCGUGUCUGUA
Molecule: ribosomal RNA, 1081 nt
Filed under: Marinococcus sp. HL70
Lineage: Bacteria; Bacillati; Bacillota; Bacilli; Caryophanales; Bacillaceae
Description: bacterial SSU rRNA
Rfam family: Bacterial small subunit ribosomal RNA
Source: RNAcentral